CCUACGGGUGGCUGCAGUAAGGAAUAUUGGACAAUGGCGGAGACGCUGAUCCAGCUAUCCCGCGUGCAGGAUGACGGCCCUACGGGUUGUAAACUGCUUUAGACUGGGGCGAAAAAGUGGGAUUUAUCCUACAUUGACGGUACCAGUAAAAUAAGCACCGGCUAACUCCGUGCCAGCAGCCGCGGUAAUACGGAGGGUGCAGGCGUUAUCCGGAAUCACUGGGUCUAAGGCGGCUGGAUGCGUCUGGUUAGAAAGGCCAUGGCUCAACUAUGGGAUUGCUUUUGAUACUGGCGAGCUUGGAUUAGGACGAGGUUGGCGGAAUGUGGCAAGUAGCGGUGAAAUGCAUAGAUAUGCCAUAGAAUACCGAUUGCGAAGGCAGCUGACUAGACCUAUAUUGACGCUGAGGCACGAAAGCGUGGGGAGCGAACAGGAUUAGAUACCCCGGUAGUC
This 450-nucleotide ribosomal RNA is filed under the name uncultured bacterium. RNAcentral describes it as "partial 16S ribosomal RNA". It matches the Rfam family "Bacterial small subunit ribosomal RNA", at positions 338 to 795 of the family's 1533-position model. The record is from RNAcentral.